This 2456-nucleotide long non-coding RNA is filed under the name Lupinus mutabilis. Its description in RNAcentral is "partial ncRNA". The record is from RNAcentral. Lineage: Eukaryota; Viridiplantae; Streptophyta; Magnoliopsida; Fabales; Fabaceae.
GCAGUUUCUGGAUUUUAUCAAAAAUUCUAACUUUUAAGUCAAACUUUUCAUUUCAGCUUUUGGGUUCCUUUUGUUUCAGCUUGUUUUAUUUGAUUUCUAAAAAAGAUAUAAUUUUGUUGGCGUGUUUAAAGAAAAAGGUUUUAAUUUUUCUUUUCAAUAAACUUUUGGUGAAGAAUAACCGAAGCUUUUACCUCAGUGAUGGUACCCUUGAUGAGAAUUUUUAUGUGUUUCUAUGUAAAGGUUUACUAUAUCUGUAUUUUUUCUCUGCUUUGAAUAUGUAGUAGUGAUUAUGUGUCAAGUGUGUUAUAAUCCUCUUGAUUCUGGUCGAUUUGAAAAAAAAAGUGUCUAUAUUCAAUGUACUUACGAGUAUUACUUUGGUUUUUGGUUUUGGGUGUACACAUUCAAUGUAUCACAUGCAAAUUUUAGUUAGUUAACAUACCCCUACCUACCCAUGUCAGGUUCUAUAUAGACUAAUUUUUUGUAAUAAUAAUGUAAAAAGUGACAGGUGCGCAGAAUCGGUAAGUGAACCAUGUAACUAUGAUUAAGAGUUUAUAUUGAUUCUGUCAAUGUUAACACCAACAAGUUGUUCUAACUAUUUUGGUGGCUAAAACAUUGUGAUUAGAAAAGUUGUAAAUUCAGAUCUACAUCUUUGAAAUUUAAGUUUUACCAAGAACCUUCUGGUUUUGAUUAGUUAAACAUGUGUUUUUAAAGUCCAAGGUUGUAGACAAACCAUUCAAGGGGGAAAGGGGUUGUUUUUUUUAAUCUUGUCAAAGGAUUCCCUAACAAGAGACUUGUGCUGCUGUGGCUAUUGGCUUCUGAAGAGUUUCGCUGCGAAAUUUUGAUACCAUUGCGUAUAUGGCUGUGGCUUUUACCAAUCUCUCGUGGUGGUUGUGGAGUGGAAAACAUCAGGAGCCAGGGAUCCCAAAUGGCUCUUCUAAAAAUUCUUCGGCCGAUCCGAAUGUGUGGGAAUCAGAUAUUUUGAGGUUUCCUUUGGUUAUGCAGGAAAAUCUAGGUUCCUCGUCAAGAAGGGUGAAGCGCAAAUGGCAUAGUAGGGAAGAGCGAAAGGUAGAUAGGGAAUAUGAUGUUGUUCUAGUUCCGUCUGAUGGUGGGUGUGUUUCCGGUUCCGAAUCCGAUGAUUCUGAUUGGUCAAUUGGCUGGUCAGAACCUCUUGGACCUGGCUUCCCAAGCGAUGAUGAAGCCGAUAACAGUUUCGCUGUUCUGGUUCCCUGUUAUGGAAGAGAUUAUGGUAGAAUGGUGCAGGAUCCAAGAAGAAACUUGCCAAAUGGUGCUGGGAACUUUCCAAAUAGUUAUUCAGAUGGUAAGAGCACUUCCAUUAGCAUCUACUAGAGUUACCUUUGUGCUGGGUUGAAAUUGAUUUUCUCAAAGACUUCAAUUUUUUUACCGAAGCUGUGCAUGUAAAAACGAUUUCAGAGCUCAGUUCUAAGCAUUGGUUCUUUAUUUUUAACAUCAUAGAAGUUCACACUUUAGACCCAACAAGAUGUUUUGUUAAGCAUAUCAUUUUGCAGUUAAUGUUACAUCUGAUUUAUUUCGUCUAUGAGAAUGGAAGAUAUUUCGUUUUGAUAUGAAUGAAGAUAAGCAAAUAUCUUAGCAAUCUUGCUUGACACCUUUAUAUUUAAGGACCAUGAGAGGCAAAUGUAAUUUGGACAAAACUUAGGUCUUGUUAUGUGUUGCAGUUAUUACUUAUUACACAUUUUACAUUUUCAUUGAUGAGUUGUUAAACAUGUUAGGUUCAUAUUGGAAAACAACACUACAAAUACCAACACCUAAGCAGAGAGCAUGAAACAUGUGGAAAAUUGGCUCUCGUCUCUUCGAAAUACCUGAUGCACAAACAUUCCUCAUUUGGCGUGGUUCACCGUGAGAAAAAUUCUGGUGUGAUAUAGACAAUAACAAUGUAUAUUGUAAAUAUUGUGUAAAAAACACUAUGAUGCUGAUUUCAAAAAAAUAUGAUUGGUAAGCCUUGGAUCAUGGUUAAUACAAUUCUGAGGAGCAAAUAUGAUCAAAGAAUAAAGCAGCUGUGAUACUUAAUUACUAUCCGAUAAUGAUGUACGAGCUUCGACUAAUGUUAGAGAAUCGAAACAUUGAUUUGUGGUGGAAUCGGGAGAGGAGAACGGUAUGGAUAAGUGCGUGUUGGAAUAUGGCUCUGGAGCUUACAAUUCAUUGAUGUAAAAAAAUAUGUAAAAUUAUCUUUGUAGAUAUUGGAAUUGGUUGGAUGUUCAAUUAUGUACUCAAUUUUGUACAUAACCUUGUAUAUAGAUUUUGUAUUGCAUGGGUUUAUGUACAUGUGUGCUUUUGGCAUGGGUGUAGAGUUAAAUUGACACAUUUUUGUAUAGUUCCUCAAGUAAUGAAAAGUCUCUACACACCUAUUGCAUACUACUGUCUAGCAUUCUAUUGGAUUUUUUUCAUGUGGUUUUUGUUUGUUUUUUAGUGAAAUGGGC